AUCACUUCACUGCCUUUUGGCUAAGAUCAAGUGCAGUAUCUGUUCUUAUUAGUUUAAUCUGAUACAUCCUCUGCAUGAGGACUACAUAUUAAAAGCGCGGUGGCUAGCGCUG
This is a small nuclear RNA of Pygocentrus nattereri (red-bellied piranha), 112 nucleotides long. Its record names the gene U2. It matches the Rfam family "U2 spliceosomal RNA". Rfam says of the family: U2 is a small nuclear RNA (snRNA) component of the spliceosome (involved in pre-mRNA splicing). Complementary binding between U2 snRNA (in an area lying towards the 5' end but 3' to hairpin I) and the branchpoint sequence (BPS) of the intron results the bulging out of an unpaired adenosine, on the BPS, which initiates a nucleophilic attack at the intronic 5' splice site, thus starting the first of two transesterification reactions that mediate splicing. Lineage: Eukaryota; Metazoa; Chordata; Actinopteri; Characiformes; Serrasalmidae. The record is from Ensembl.